CACUGAUGGCAUUACAUCAAGUAUAGAUUCCUGCACUAAAGCCUGCUCUCCAGAUCAGCAGACUAAAGAAAAAAACCAAAGCAAGAGAGACUACAUAUGAACUGUAGUGCAUACUAGAGUGGCAUUAUCUCAAAUACUGGAGUUGUGGUACACUUGCCAAAGGAACAAGCAAGGGGAAAGGAGCAAGAACCUUCAUGUUGCAGCAAGGUAGCAGACGAGAAGGAACUGAAAGGGAAGGCACUCUCCUGCCUAUCUGAAUGGGUGCUCCCUCGCAUCUCAGAAUGCUGGAGAGCACCUAUUGGAGCUAGAGAUUCCUUCGUGGAGCUACUGAGCAGGUGCAGAAGACCCAGUUUUGAGGGAACAUGGAUAACCUCAGAGAUCUAUGAAUUAUGUACAUAUUGCCACAGAGCAGUGGGACGGAUAGACAUUUAGAUUACCAAAGAGCUAGUUUUGAUGAUGGAGAAAAUACUGCUGAGAAUCCCAGAGCAGAUAAGCAACUCUUUUUGCUGUCUCAGGUGAAGAUGAAUAUGAUGAAGAACCACAGAUGAGGAAAAGAAGUUGAGACACACAGCCUAAGUUCAUCGCACUAUUUUUUUGGUUACCACAACGUCUUGCAACAUGAUAUACUGGAACAAUAUCCACAGAUAAACCUUACAGGCACUCUGCCUCAGGACUCAGAUACAAACAACCAAUCAAAACUUGCACCCCGCCCCAACUGGGGAUGCAAGGAUUCAUCUCACAAAGGAGGACAUCAGGCCCAGGAGGUGUUAAAUCUUUUAAGCCUGUUGAAUAGGCUGCGCAGUAAAAAGCUGGAUUAGUUCCCAGAUGGAUUGGAAUAUUUCCUGCGACUGCUGACCAAGAUGUUGUCACAAUGAGCUCCACAACACAUAGGAAAAUCUCUAUGAUGACAGCAGUUCCUUGAAAUGAGACACCAAAGGAGAUAUCCUGCAGCAGACUGAACUCUAAAUCCCACUACUGGAGGGAAGUUGUUAUUUUUUUUAAUUAUUAUUAUUAUUAUUAUUA
Hemicordylus capensis (graceful crag lizard) is the source of this 1023-nucleotide long non-coding RNA. RefSeq lists it as uncharacterized. The record is from RefSeq and is a predicted model, not a curated record. The transcript has 6 exons. NCBI's taxonomy places the organism in Eukaryota, Metazoa, Chordata, Lepidosauria, Squamata, Cordylidae.